Molecule: ribosomal RNA, 323 nt
Filed under: Thiothrix nivea DSM 5205
Lineage: Bacteria; Pseudomonadati; Pseudomonadota; Gammaproteobacteria; Thiotrichales; Thiotrichaceae
Description: bacterial SSU rRNA
Rfam family: Bacterial small subunit ribosomal RNA
Source: RNAcentral
AGUGGGGGACAGCCCAGYGAAAGCUNGAUUAAUACCGCAUACGCCUACGGGGGAAAGCAGCAAUGCGCUAACWGAUGAGCCCGCGUUAGAUUAGCUGGUUGGUGGGGUAAAGGCCCACCAAGGCGACGAUCUAUAGCUGGUCUGAGAGGAUGGCCAGCCACAUUGGGACUGAGACACGGCCCAGACUCCUACGGGAGGCAGCAGUCGGGAAUAUUGGACAAUGGGCGCAAGCCUNAUCCAGCAAUACCGCGUGUGUGAAGAAGGCCUGCGGGUUGUAAAGCACUUUCAGUGGGGAAGAUAAUGACGNUACCCACAGAAGAAGC